CCGACUGCUAUUUGGGUGAGGAUAGCCAUGCGAGUCGAAUGGGAUACCUAAAUUUCCCAUGGCGAACUGCUCAGUAACACAUGAUCAACUUACCCUAUUGAGAAAGAUAACCUCGGGAAACUGAGGAUAAUAUUUCAUAGUUGAAUUGGCUUGGAAAAGUUUUUCAACAAAAGGGAUAGGGAAAAUGGUCUCUAUCCGCUAUAGGAUAGGAUCGUGUUCGAUUAUGGUAGUUGGUGAGGUAAUGGCUCACCAAGCCGAUAAUCGAUAGGGGCCGUGAGAGCGGGAGCCCCGAGAUGGGUACUGAGACAACGACCCAGGCCUUACGAGGCGCAGCAGGUACGAAACCUCCACAAUACACGAAAGUGUGAUGGGGUUACCCAAAGUGUUCAUUAUUGAACUGUGGUAGGAGAGUAAUGUCCCCUACUAGAAAGAAGAGGGCAAGGCUGGUGCCAGCCGCCGCGGUAAAACCAGCUCUUCAAGUGGUCGGGAUAAUUAUUGGGCUUAAAGUGUCCGUAGCCGGUUUGGUAAGUUCCUGGUUAAAAUCGGAUAGCUUAACUAUCUGUAUGCUAGGAAUACUGCUAUACUAAGGGCGGGAGAGGUCUGAGGUACUACAGGGGGUAGGGGUGAAAUCUUAUAAUCCUUGCAGGACCACCAGUGGCGAAGGCGUCAGACUGGAACCCGCCUGACGGUGAGGGACGAAAGCCAGGGG
RNAcentral lists this ribosomal RNA (709 nucleotides) under uncultured archaeon. RNAcentral describes it as "bacterial SSU rRNA". It matches the Rfam family "Archaeal small subunit ribosomal RNA", at positions 23 to 717 of the family's 1478-position model. The record is from RNAcentral.